GCCUGGGUGGCUCAGUCGGUUGAGCAUCCGACUUCGGCUCAGGUCAUGAUCUCGCGGUUCUGUGAGUUCGAGCCCCGCAUCAGGCU
Molecule: transfer RNA, 86 nt
Filed under: Felis catus (domestic cat)
Lineage: Eukaryota; Metazoa; Chordata; Mammalia; Carnivora; Felidae
Rfam family: tRNA
About the family: Transfer RNA (tRNA) molecules are approximately 80 nucleotides in length. Their secondary structure includes four short double-helical elements and three loops (D, anti-codon, and T loops).
Source: Rfam by way of RNAcentral